Molecule: ribosomal RNA, 609 nt
Filed under: Clostridioides difficile
Lineage: Bacteria; Bacillati; Bacillota; Clostridia; Peptostreptococcales; Peptostreptococcaceae
Description: partial 23S ribosomal RNA
Rfam family: Bacterial large subunit ribosomal RNA
Source: RNAcentral
AGGUGGGAGGCUUUGAAACCAGGACGCCAGUUUUGGCGGAGCCAUCCUUGGGAUACCACCCUUGUAGUACUGGGACUCUAACCAUAGGCCAUGAAUCUGGUCUUGGGACACUGUCAGGUGGGCAGUUUGACUGGGGCGGUCGCCUCCCAAAAGGUAACGGAGGCGCUCAAAGGUUCUCUCAGUACGGUCGGAAAUCGUACGUAGAGUGUAAAGGCAAAAGAGAGCUUGAUUGCAAGACAUACAGGUCGAGCAAGGAUGAAAAUCGGACUUAGUGAUCCGGUGGUUCUGCGUGGAAGGGCCAUCGCUCAACGGAUAAAAGCUACCCUGGGGAUAACAGGCUUAUCUCCCCCAAGAGUCCACAUCGACGGGGAGGUUUGGCACCUCGAUGUCGGCUCAUCACAUCCUGGGGCUGUAGUAGGUCCCAAGGGUUGGGCUGUUCGCCCAUUAAAGUGGUACGCGAGCUGGGUUCAGAACGUCGUGAGACAGUUCGGUCCCUAUCCGUCGCAGGCGUAGGAAAUUUGAGAAGACCUGUCCUUAGUACGAGAGGACCGGGAUGGACGUACCUCUGGUGUACCAGUUGUUCUGCCAAGGGCAUGGCUGGGUAGCUAU